AAAUACCCUUUUUCAAAAUUUUGGUUGUAGUUAUCUGUGGAAACUGAAGUCUGUACAGAGUUCAUCUCGGUUUCCUCCGAUGGACUCCAUCUUCUCCGCCACGACGAGCAACAUAGCCAUUUGCUGCGUUUCGAAAGCCUUGAAUCGGAGGCUUUCCGAAAUUGUUCGUAGAAGAUGCGUUCAUGGCGUUGACCGAGCUCGCCGUUUCAGCUGCAUUUCCAGUUAUCUUGGCCUCUACGGAACUACUGGACUUUUCGGUUCUUCUUCACCGUCGCUCAGGACUCUUCAGGUUGUUCUGCCUUCGCUGCGGUGUCGUUUGCGGUGUGUUUCGAGCUCCUCUGUAUCUUUUGCAUCUGGUGGCGGAAAUGGUGGUCUUGGAGGGAAGAAUGGCGGCGGAGGUCGUGGUGGAGAUGGUGGACUGGGCGGUGGAAAGGGCAAUAAGUUUGUUUCUGGUAGCGCUGAGGAGGGUUCUUCACUGUUGCCUAACGUUAUCAUACUCGACGUUGGAGGAAUGACAUGCGGGGGAUGCGCAGCAAGUGUGAAGAGAAUACUAGAGAAUCAGCCACGAGUGUCAUCUGCUAGUGUGAACCUCACAACAGAGACUGCAGUCAUAUGGCCAGUACCGGAGGUGAAAGAUUCACCUCAUAGGGUGAAGCAGUUGGGAGAGACGCUUGCUAAUCAUCUAACUCAAUGUGGUUUUGCAUCUAGUCUUCGAGAGUCGGGAAGAGACAACAUCUUCAUGGUUUUUGAAAGGAAGAUGGAAGAAAAGCACAAUCGUUUAAAAGAGAGUGGUCGCAAUCUUGUUUUUUCCUGGGCUCUGUGUGCUGUGUGUCUUCUUGGUCAUCUUUCUCAUUUCUUUGGUGCUAAGGCCUCAUGGAUCCAUACAUUUCAUACUACUCAAUUCCAUCUAUCACUGUGCUUAUUUACAUUACUUGGUCCUGGUCGUCAACUUAUUAUUGAUGGUAUGAAAAGUCUUGUCAAAGGAGCUCCAAAUAUGAACACUUUAGUUGGUCUUGGAGCUCUAUCAUCCUUUACUGUCAGCUCAUUGGCCACCUUAAUGCCAAAACUUGGUUGGAAGGCUUUCUUUGAGGAACCAGUUAUGUUAAUAGCAUUUGUAUUGUUAGGAAGGAACCUUGAACAGAGAGCUAAAAUUAGAGCUGCAAGUGAUAUGACAGGACUUCUUAGUAUUUUGCCCUCAAAGGCUCGUCUAGUUGUUGAUGGUGAUACAGAAUUGGAUUCAACAGUUGAAAUUCCUUGUUCUAGUCUUUCAAUUGGAGAUGAAGUUAUUGUACUUCCUGGGGACCGUAUUCCUGCUGAUGGAAUUGUGAAAUCUGGUAGAAGCAUUGUGGAUGAGUCUAGUUUCACUGGGGAGCCAUUACCUGUUACCAAGCUGCCUGGGAGCCAAGUUGCAGCAGGAACUAUAAAUCUUAAUGGAACUCUUACAGUUGAGGUGCAUCGACCAGGAGGUGAGACUGCUAUGGGAGAUAUUAUUCGUUUGGUUGAAGAGGCUCAAAGCCGGGAAGCUCCUGUUCAACGGUUGGCUGACAAGGUGUCUGGGCACUUCACUUAUGGAGUAAUGGCACUCUCCGCAGCAACUUUUAUCUUUUGGAGUCAAUUUGGGUCACGCAUUCUGCCAGCAGCUCUUUAUCACGGAAGUUCAGUUUCAUUGGCUCUGCAGCUUUCUUGCAGUGUUCUGGUUGUUGCUUGUCCAUGUGCACUUGGCUUAGCUACGCCAACUGCAAUGCUGGUUGGAACUUCAUUAGGGGCAACUAAAGGAUUACUUCUGCGUGGUGGAAAUAUCUUAGAGCAGUUCUCAAUGGUGGAUACUGUUGUCUUUGACAAAACAGGGACCUUGACAGUUGGGAAACCUGUUGUGACAAAGGUGUUUGCAACUUCAAGAUAUGAGAGAAAUGUAGAUUCACAGAUAAACUCACAUGGCAAUUAUUCAGAAAAUGAGAUUCUUAAGUUUGCUGCUGCGGUGGAAUCUAACACAGUUCAUCCAGUUGGGAAGGCAAUUGUGGAAGCAGCUCGAGCCGUUAAUGGUCAAAGCUUGAAGGUGGUUGAAGGAACAUUUGUUGAAGAACCUGGUUCUGGUGCUGUUGCAACAGUAGAAAACAGAAUAAUAUCUGUCGGAACUCUGGACUGGGUUCAGAGGCAUGGAGUUGUCGACCAUUUUCAAGAGACGGAUGAUCUCAAACCCCAAUCAGUCGUUUAUGUAGGAAUAGACAGUAUUCUAGCUGGUUGUAUUUAUUAUGAGGAUGGCAUCCGGGAGGAUGCUGGUCAUGUUGUUGACACUUUGUCUAGGCAAGGAAUUAACACAUACAUGUUGUCCGGGGACAAAAGGAGUAAUGCUGAGUACAUUGCAUCUCUUGUUGGACUUCCAAAAGAGAAGGUACGUUCUGGAGUCAAACCCCAUGAAAAGAAGAAGUUUAUUAGUGAACUUCAGGAGAAGAAGAGCAUUGUAGCCAUGGUUGGUGAUGGAAUCAACGAUGCUGCUGCCUUGGCCACUGCAGAUAUUGGAAUUGCGAUGGGCGGGGGUGUCGGAGCCGCCAGUGAGGUGUCUCCUAUUGUGUUAAUGGGCAACAGACUCUCUCAGGAAACUUUAUUUUAAUUAGAACAUUAGAGAAGUUCGUUCUUUUUCUUGAUAGAGAAUAAAUAAUUAUCACAAAAAAAUACAAUGAAGUCCACACUCAAGCUGGGGAGAUUGCAGAAAUGGAACAGUAAGAGAAGCCCAAGCACGAAUAUAUUAGAUAAGUACUUACAAUAUUUUAAUUUCGAUUUUGAUCCCUUUAGAAUAAAAUUUGUCUAUACAUAGGUUUCAACAAAGGGCUUUCAUGUCUAUCUUUUAUGUUCUUGUGCUUACAUUGAGAUUUGGUUUCUUUUUGUUUUGAGCAAUAGCCUCUUUUCAUUAUAUCAAUGAAAAGUUUAGUUUCCAUUUAAAAAUAAAAAAAUAAAAAAACAAAAGGGCUUUCAUGUCAUUCCAUAUAGAGUUUUUUUGGCUAUGUCACUCAGCAGUAAGCCGUGAACCAUCAAGUGCUUGAUACAUGAAUUGAGAAGACUUAACACCAUUGAACUUGUCAUAGUUUACCAGCUUAAACUUUUAGAUUUAGCGGCAACUUAAUAAAAUGAUUAUUUUAUCUCUAAGAGUACGCUGACAAACAUUUCACAAGUAAUAGUAGCAUUAGCAGCAGCUUUUAGAAAACUGUCAAUGAUUUAAGGGUGACAAAUGCUGUCUCUUCAUUGCAUUAGAUGGAUUGGUAAGUCCUCUUGCCAUGUGGAGAGGAGUAACUUUUACAUUGCCGCUCAACUACUUAUAUAAUCUAUAUGCAAGUAAACCUGCCAUCUAAAACAAAUAAGUCAGAUCCGAGUCAUCUCCCUAGUCAGGUGUACUGCCCAAAUCAAUUCAAGUAAUGUAAUUCAAUUUUCACUCAAGUUAUUGUUGGAUUUUGACAAAAUAUUAGAAGAAUAGUUGUUCCACAUCUAAAAUGUUCAAGAAAAUGAUGGGCUCCAAGUAUUAUAAAAUGAUUCUAUGCCUUUAGUUUCUAAUCAUCUAAUUUUGAAGCACUUUAAAUCCGGUAUACUAACUCAAUUGUGUGAGUGAUAUAAUGCUUUGAGUUAGUGCUCUUGAAAUUAGGAUCAGGGAGAGAUUUUGUGUGAUUGUAAUAAUUUUUCACAUUGUGGAAUUAUUUUUGGCCCGUGGUUUUUUCCAUGUAAAUUAUUUUAAUUUCUUUGUUAUUUUUUCUGCUUAUUCUUGCGGUAGUUGUGAGAGGUUUUUCCGAACAAGUGGUAUCAGAGCUUUAGAUUUGUAGUUUCUUGAAUUUUUUAUUAUGCUAUGUGGUUGCAAGUGUCUAAACUUCCACAUUAGAUAGGAAUCCUUAAAAUGCGCUACGAUAGUAUGAAUAGUGUGUAUUGUUCACUAUUGCUAGGAAUGAAGUCGAUAUGUCAAGCUUUAUGAGUCGGUAAAGUUUGAUGUGGAGAAAUUUGAUGGAAGGAUGAACUUCAAUUGUGCCAAGUGCAAGUUAAGGACAUGAUGAUACAAAUUGGGUUACACAAGGCCCUAAAGGGAAGACCAAGCAGUGUUACUUCUAAAGAGUUUAGUGAUGCCGGUGAUGGUGGCCUAGGAGAGUUCGAUGGCAGUUCCAGUAAAGGUUGCAUGAGAAUGAAAAUUGGGAAGAAAUGGAUUUGAGAACUGCAAGUGCAAUCAGGCUAAGAAUAUUCUUGCGAAUGUGCAUAGAAUUUUGACAGCCAAAGAGCUACGGGUGAAGUUUGAAGCAAUGUAUCAGGCAAAGAGCAUCUUAAAUCGGUUGUACUUGAAGGAGCAAUUUCAUUGCUGCGGAUGGUGGUAAGUAUGAAAUACUCAGAUCAUCCAUGUAUUCUCGAUGACAUUGUUUUUGAGCUAGAGGUGAUCGGAGUGAAGAUAGAUGAUAAAGAUAAGACACUUAGACUCAUCCUAUCAUUUUCCCCUUCUUACUAUGAAUUCAUGAAGCCAAUCUUGAUUUACAAAAAGGAAACUUUAGAUUUUGUUGAGCCUACUACUAAACUUUUGUCAGAGGAGGGAAGGCUAAAGAGUGAAAGGCGUUCUUCCCGGGAAGAUUCAGUACCAGUAGCUAGCAACUGGAAGAAGAAAGAGUUCAGGCAGAAAAAGGGUUGUCAGGAAUGUGGAUAGUCUAGACAAAUGAAAAAGGAUUGUCCUAAUAGAGUAGGUUUGUUAAAAGGCUCUAAAUUGGAUGCUAACGUCAUCUCCAUCAUGAGUAUGUGAUGUUAGCGAUUCCACAAGAUUGCACAUGGGCAUUGGCUUGGCACUUAUGCAAAGUGUGUGUUGAUAGCUAAAGAACUUCCAGGUGAGCUAUGUAGGUGGAAGUUGCACCAUAAAUUUCAGUAAGGUUAAUCAAUAUGUGAUGAAAAAGGAAAAAUCUUGGAGGGUGGUAUUUGAAGCGGUUUAGUGUAGUGAGUUAUAAUUUUAUGAAUUGAGAAUUAUGAUUGUCAAUUAAGACAAUGGUUGCAACAAAAGUUGUGGAUUCUUCAAAUAUCUUGCCAAUGUGGAAUUUGUUGGGUUUUGGCAAAAUAUUAGAAGAAUAGUUGUCCUAAAUCUGAGAGCUUUAAAGAAGUGAUGGGUUCUAAACGCUAUAAAAGGAGGCUUUGCCUCUAGUUUCUAAUCAUCUCAAUUUAAAGCACUUUAAACCUGAUAUACUAAUUCGGCUGUGUGCGUGGUAUAAUGUUUUGAAAGAGUGCUCUUGUAAUUGCAGUCAAGGAGAGAUUUAUAUGUGAUUAUAAUAAUUUUUCAUACACUGGAGUUUGUUUUUUCUUUUUUUCUCUUUUUUUUUUUUUUUGUCUGGUUUUUUUUCAGUUUGGAAUUUUUCCACGUUAAUUCUUGUGUUCCAAGAUUUAUCGCUUUCUUUUAAUUAAUUUGUUGUUUUUUUCUGUUUGUUUCUACCAUAGUAGUGAGAGGUUAUUUCCUCUAGUUCUCCUUGAUGGGAAACUUUUCGAAUUCGCCACCACAUUUACUGAGGAAAAGAAUUAGGGCCUAGGGGUCUAUAUCUUGUUACAUUUUUUCCCUACAGUGUGAUAGCUGUCCCAUUACCUAAUCAGUAGUGAGAGUUUUAACCACAAUGCUCUUGAAAUAGUUAUGUGAAACCUAGAACAGAAAACUAUCAAGUAUAGUCUUCGUUGUAUACUAUCACUAGCUAGAAGAGAUUCUCAAUGCAACGAAGCAAUAUGUGAGAGACCUAGUUAGGGAUAUACUAGGAUUAUUAGUAUGGUAUUAGUAAGAACACAAGGGUAAGUAGUUAGGAAGUUGGUUAGUGUAUUUGGUUAUAAAUAGUGGGAGGGAGAUUGAGGGAAGGUGGUGAGUGAUUUUGGGCGAGGGUUAGCAUACUCAAGAGUCAAGAGAAAAAGAUUCUAGUGUCUUAUACUUGAUCUUUUCUAUUUCAAUGUAUUUUAAUUCUUCAUUCCUGUUCGGUACCUAACACAGAAUCUCUUCUUAUAUUGAGGGUACGUACAAAACGAAAUUUCUCAGGUUUCAUAUCUGAAACCUCUGGAGAUCAAAAGCCAAAGGCAACAUUGUUGCUGGAUGCUUUGGAGCUCAGCAGGUUAACCAUGAAGACCGUGAAGCAAAACCUUUGGUGGGCUUUUGGAUAUAACAUCGUUGGGAUUCCAAUUGCAGCAGGCGUCUUGCUUCCUAUUACUGGGACUAUACUCACUCCUU
Molecule: non-coding RNA, 6205 nt
Organism: Benincasa hispida (wax gourd)
Lineage: Eukaryota; Viridiplantae; Streptophyta; Magnoliopsida; Cucurbitales; Cucurbitaceae
Source: RefSeq, a predicted model, not a curated record